Molecule: long non-coding RNA, 1158 nt
Organism: Xenopus laevis (African clawed frog)
Lineage: Eukaryota; Metazoa; Chordata; Amphibia; Anura; Pipidae
Exons: 3
Source: RefSeq, a predicted model, not a curated record
AUGCUCUGUUAUACAGAUAGCUAGAAUCUCAGCUGUCAUAAAGCAGGACAGGACUGCUGCUUACAAUGGGGAUCAGAUAGGAUCUGUGCAGCCACUGGGACAGAAUGCUCUGUUAUACAGAUUGCUAGAAUCAUUCAGCCAUAAAGUAGGCCCCUUUCCCACCUGCUUAUAUAUGUAUGCUUUUACCCAACACUUUUGAAAAUGAUAUAUUGCAUUAAAGCACUUGCUCCUCUUAUCUCUAAGAAUAUUAUUCCUGGGGGUAAUUCCAGUACAGUCCAGUGCCAGCUGUAUGCCUGUCUCCCAUGGAACAGUGCCUGGCCUGGAAUUGAACAGAGUUGUUCCUAUGGGAAUACAGAAGACGGGCACACUCCUGCAGUACAAGAAGCACGAUGCUAUUAAAAUAAGAUUUGAAGCAGAAACGGAUCUGGCUGAUCCACAAAACCUUCCCUCAGUUCCAGCCCUGCAUUGGAAUGUUAUUAAAGAGUCCCCUCAACGUCUAGUAUUCAUGGUGGGAGCAGCAAUGUACACGCAAAUUUUUUUGUAGCUUGUUGGAAUCAUUCAGAAGUGUCGGCAGUCGCACAAAUCACAGUGUAUUUAUUUCCUGGUGAUCUCCAUCCAGGGAUGCAGAAGUGAAUGGACACGUGGGGCAGGAGCCUUGCACAAGGAGUCGACUGAUAGAUAAGUGGAGAAAUAAAAACACCACUCUUACUGUAUAUACACAAGUUUAGAUGUGACCCAACUGCGACUCUACAUUUUUGCAUGUGCUUUUCUUUUUUGCAUGUUUCAGAGAGAAUCCCUGCCACUCUCAGAUGUGCCACUGAUAUACCAACAGAUAUACAUUUAUAAUACACAAAGCCACGAAUAUCUUGUAAAUUAUAUCCUUACAAAUGGUGACUUCUGAUGUCAUCAGUUAUAAACGCUUUUGCCGCAAGUGAAACUUCGUUUUCAAGAGUCUGUCCUGCUGCACCUUAGGAAUUGCGAUAGGUGACUUGAUAGACUGUAAGCUUAUGGGCAGUCACCUUUACUCCUUGUAUGUGAAGCUUCUUCAUUUUUUUCUGUAUCUUUGUGCCAAUACAAUUUUGUACUGUUUCAUGGCUUCAUGAUUUACAGUAUUCACACCUUCCAUGUAAAACAAAAUAAAAUAUGCCAUGAAACAGA